UUGUUCUUCCUCCAUCCUCUGACCACGCCCACCUCUUUGUUUUUGCGGCUCUGCCACGGUAAACGCCAGUGAAAUGAAGGCGUGGCUUGUGUUUAUAUCUAGGGGGCCGGUAGACAGAUGUAAA
This is a long non-coding RNA of Sphaeramia orbicularis (orbiculate cardinalfish), 124 nucleotides long. RefSeq lists it as uncharacterized. NCBI's taxonomy places the organism in Eukaryota, Metazoa, Chordata, Actinopteri, Kurtiformes, Apogonidae. The record is from RefSeq and is a predicted model, not a curated record. The transcript is spliced from 3 exons.